AAAGACGCAAGUCUUCAAGUAUCAUCACCCAUCCGGGUGUUCAGCUGAUUCUAAAUCAAACAUCAAAAUAUGUGGGGUCUUUUCUCCACAAGUAACAAAAAAUAAAUAAAUCAGAUAAGCACAGAGGGAAGGUAAACAUUAGUGCAAUUUAUUUUUAUGGGGGUUUUUGUCCCCAACUGAUCAUAAAUGCAUGUGUUGGCAUGUGUACUUACAUGGCUGUGGCCUCAUAGGUUAAGACUGCUGCUGGGGAUUGGGAUGGCGUGGGGGUGGAGAGGGUGAAGGUAAGUCAUUGAUUUUUUUUUUUCCCUCUCCCCCCUCCGUUUUCUCCAGGAUUUUGACAGAAUCAUAGCACCGUGGAAACAAAGAAACUGCUUUGUGGCAGAGGAAAACCUUUCAUUUCAGUAGCACUGAAUGGUGGCUUGCUGCUGAUAACAGCAUGGAUGAGCCGAAGUCAGCGCACACCGGUCUCCAUUUUAGCUUGCUCCUCCAUCAGGUUCGGGCCGCGUGAUGGCCGACGAUCUUCCUCGAGGUGCGACGCGUCGGCGCGGAUGAUCGCCAACGCAAAAAAAAAAAAAAAAAAAAAAAAAAACCCAAACGGGCAAACACUCUUGGUUGCGAGAUGUAAAUUGAUCCAGGAGCAACGGAGCCACGGUAACGGAGCCACAGAGAGCAGCACUGUACAUUUACCUGCAAUUAGAUUUGCCUGAGUAUCCUGCUGAGUGAUGGAGGCCCCUCCGACCUGGAGAUGGCAACAGCUCCUGUUCCUUCAUACGUUGUUCACGAGCGCAUUCGCCCUAGUGUGAAGUAAGCAUGUUUUUACGGGAUUUGAGUGAAAUCCAGUAAAUAUGGGAUUAGGUUUGUUUUUCUUUUUUUGUUGUUUUUUGUGUGUUUUUUUAAAAAGAAGAGAGAAAGUAAUGACCCAUCCAAGCUGUUGUGUUUAUAACACAGAAUGUUUAUUUGUACGCUUCUCCUUCUUGAACUUUUCUCACUUUUUUGGAGGAUUUUGUGGGAUGGACCAACACAAAUUUAUACAUAGUGGAUUUAUACAGGAUUUAAGUUUAGUAGGCCUGUGUGUUCUGGGUGUUUUAUUCUUAAAAUAAAAAAUCCUAUUGACC
Molecule: long non-coding RNA, 1115 nt
Organism: Poecilia latipinna (sailfin molly)
Lineage: Eukaryota; Metazoa; Chordata; Actinopteri; Cyprinodontiformes; Poeciliidae
Exons: 3
Source: RefSeq, a predicted model, not a curated record